Molecule: non-coding RNA, 71 nt
Organism: Pangasius djambal
Lineage: Eukaryota; Metazoa; Chordata; Actinopteri; Siluriformes; Pangasiidae
Source: the annotation of a GenBank genome assembly
GUGCCAGUGGUGUAGUGGUAUCAUGCGAGAUUCCCACUCUGGUGAACUGGGCUUGAUUCCCAGGUGGCGCA